Molecule: long non-coding RNA, 457 nt
Filed under: Ananas comosus (pineapple)
Lineage: Eukaryota; Viridiplantae; Streptophyta; Magnoliopsida; Poales; Bromeliaceae
Description: long non-coding RNA (ACOM_LNC017225)
Source: RNAcentral
UGCUAUUGAAUUAUUUAGAAACCAAAUUUCAUAGUUUUUUGACUUUAUUUGUCUAUUGAACGAGUAGGCUCAAAAUGAAUGACUGAAAAUAAAAAUCUCAAAAAAAAAUAGUGAUAAAAGACUCAAAUUUCAAAUCGGAAGUAUUGCUAUUACUCUUGAUAUUCUGUAGAAUUUUGUAUUAAAGUUUCAUGUAAUUUCGAUUCUUCUACACCGUUGAACUUUCGAACGUGCCACAUUGGCUGUUAAAAUAGUUAUUUUUGAGACUCUUUGAUCACUUGGUAAAUGAUGUCGAAAAAUUAUGAAAUCUGAUUUCUAAAUAGUUCUAAUAGUGUAGAUCAUGCCUAACGGAGCCGAUCGCUGAAUCAAAUUAAUGCACCAUUAUAAAAAAUAACUUACAAGCACGGAGGUCACUAUACUUUCGAAAGUAUAGAAGACGUAUUCUAUAUAUAAAUAUAUA